Molecule: long non-coding RNA, 3177 nt
Filed under: Androctonus crassicauda
Lineage: Eukaryota; Metazoa; Arthropoda; Arachnida; Scorpiones; Buthidae
Source: RNAcentral
ACGGCAUUGCUUGUAGAAGAAUUUGAAUGUUUUAACAUUAUUAAUAAUUAACUAGAGGAAAACAAUAUUAAACUACACAAAAUAAUGAAAGAUAUUCUUGCGAUUUAGAAAGAUAAAAGGAAAAAAUUUCGUCUAGCUGAAUGCCGCUGCUGCUGCAUCUGGUUGAUCAAUGUUUUCGCGAAUUCUGCUGCAGAGAAAAAUUUUGUGAUGACAUACUUUUCCAUAACUAAUGAAGGAAGAGCUGAUCCACUCCCCGAAGAGAUCAGAAUCCCCCUUUACAAGCUAAAAAAAAAAAAAAAAAAAAACAUAAAGGUACAACGUCUUUUGACUUCUAUAACAAGACGUAGUCCCAUCAGAUUCGAAAGUAUUAUUACGGAAACUCCGAACGGAUUUUUCUCCUUACCGAACGUAACCCGAGACAUCAAUAGCACAUUGUCGUAAACAUUUCAACAGGUCACAGGAACAAGACAAUGUUCUCCGUUCUUUCAUUCUGUUGAACACUAACUUAGUUGUUCUGCACUCGAAAUAUAAUCCAUCGGCAACAAUGAGUAACAUUAGUCUACGGUCCCAAGACAUUCACAAAAGAUCCUCCUCCUCCUCUUCUGCUUUGUCUAUUGUUAUGACUUUUCAUAUCGGUAGCUCUUCGAUAUAUUUUAAAUUAUAAGCGUGGAAUCUCGUAUUCUCCACUUUCUAGCCAGUCGCAAUAUGGCUCGUUACGCUACUAGUGUGUUGGUGAUUAGAACUGACAAGCAUUCUCCCGGAUCAGUUAUUUGUAGCUUCAAAUGCACACUGGCUGUUUGUCUCAGACAUCUGUUUUUUAUUGAUUUGUUUAUCUCGGAUUACUAAAAAGGCAUAAGCUUAAUUAAGGCAUUUUAUAUUUAUUCUGCGCUAUCAGAUGCAGAUGGUCGGACUGCACUAGAUAAGUUUAAUUUCGAGAUGCGAGAAGGAUAUGAUUCUUUAUUUUUAAUUAAAGGAUAUUUGCCUGUCGUAUUUUUAGCAGAAUCUGUUUAUAAUGGCAGCUUUAAUGGAUGAUCUAAUGAAGUAUCGGGAAUGGAAACUUUGAAACAAUUCUCUGGGAAAAAGAAAAAGAACUUAUUGCUUAGGCUAGUUUUAGUCAGAGGGAAAAAAGAAUAUGAGUUCUUCCCCUAAGAAUGAGAUAAAAGUUUAGCCGAUUUUUACCCUUGUUAAAAUUAAUUUUAUUCCAGAUUUUUUUUAUUUAAUGAUAAAUUCUAUACAAAUCUCGACUGCAACUAUAUUAAUUAAUGCCUGAAUUGGGUCUAAAUUAUCUUCUUUACAGAAUAUUCGUCAGUGAAGCUCAUAAACAUAGUUGGGCUAGACACUUUUACACCAAGACUUACACCGAGAUUUGUAAGCGUGUUCCAGAAAUAACUCUGGAAACUUAGCUGGAUCCUAAAUUAGAACAAUGCGUCUGUAGAGGACUACCAAAAUUUGUCAAAACUUUCUAUUGUACUUCAGUUUAUCUCGAGUCGUUUGUGGAAAAAAAAAUCCUUGGUAUUUGGCCCGCGUGUUUUCGGUAAUGUUUUUAAUUUUAACCAUUCGACGAUUAAAUGAAAAUUCUUUUUUUCAGUUUAUCUAACGAAUAAGUAGCCAAACUGGUCAGUUGGUGUAAAAACUACGAUAAAAAAAAAGCGUUAGAGUCGUGCCACAAGAGCACAGGUGCCGUUCCACUCAGUCUUACAUUUCAAAAUGCUGUUAUUGUAUUCACGGAGAACAACUUUAUUGAUCGUAAGGGUCAACUGAAGUAACCCUCUAAUCUUGUUGAGGUUUUGCGAUUAUGCGGAUACAAAGGCUAGUUUAUUCUAAUACGGAGUGGUAAUUUGAUAUUUUCUAAGACGUCAAGAUUGUUAAUUUAUUACCUAUAAUAAUCUAUUCUGGCUAAAAUGACUAACUUAAAUUGAAAAUUUCUAACAUUAUUCAUUAUUUUUUCGCAUAAAAACGAUUUUGUUUGUAGGCCUACGCUUCAACCACCAGGAUUCGAAAGAAAAAUGUAAGGCCUGCCAGGGUCGGCCUAAAGUUAUCAAUUUCAAAGGCUGUUUACUUAAAUAUCAGUUGUCUUAGAAAGUAUUUAGAAUCCGCCAAAUGUUGAAAAAACAGGUAAUAAAUGUAGUCAUCCCUCAACUUUGUCAAAAUAAACAAAAAUCCGUGCGCUGGGCAAAUAUCAAGAAUUAAAACAUAAUACGUUGAAGAUCGAGUAGACACUAAAGUUUUAUUACUCAUUACUCAUAACUAAGUUUGCAAAAAAAGUGUGAUAAAUAAAACUGCAUAAUCAUAUUUCAAUAUUAAUAAAUGGGUUGUGUUAUUAAUCAACUGCAAUGAUGGUCUGUUACGCUGACUAGUUUAUCACAACCGUGCUGGAAUUUCUUCUUUUAAUGGUUACAGGUACAUCUAAGAAUUUCUAGAGUUUGAGAAUGUUUUGUAAGCAAGAUAUAUAUAUAUAUAUAUAUUUUUUUUUUAACAUUUCUGAAAUGCGAGUUAUCUUCAUUACAACACGUAGAGAGCAGUUAGAACGAUCUAGUGGAUGUUAUGGCAGCAAUAAAGUACCCGACAUCAAACAAUUGCAUUUGAUAUAGGAAAUUAGCCUAUCUUUUAUUACCUGUAAGAUAGACGAGAAUACUGAUCGCGUUUUAAUACAAAACAAAACAAACGCAGACUAAUGAGAUGUACUGGCUUUCAAAACGUGGCUUUUUAUUUCCGCCAUUAAACCCAUAACUGCUAGAAGAAGAAACAACGGCAAGAACCGAUACACAUUAGCAUUAAAAAAAAAAUCGCGCACACACAUAAAUACGCUUCGUUUAUGAAACAGAAUUUUUUUCACUUAUAAUAAGUGGUAAGAUAAAAUAUAUUUUUAUGGCCAGGCAAACUAAAGGCCUCGGAUCACUUCCGUUUACAUUAUAGUGCGCUCCGGAUUAACCCCUCUUAAUUUCGGCUGUUUAACCGAUGUUAAUUACUUUAUUAUGUAGGCUAAGUAUUGUUUAAUUAGAGAAACAAUGGCAGCGUACUAUAUUAAACGUAUUAGACGUUUUUAACAGAACAGAGUUUUCUACCGAUUUACUCGGCUGUUCAAAAAUAAAUAAUUCUCGUUCGGCAAUCAUACCGCCAGUAAAACUAAAAAGUUAAAUCAUAAAUAUAUACCAGAAAAUAAAUUAAAUAUACGAG